AACGUAGGAGGCAAGCGUUAUCCGGAGUUACUGGGCGUAAAGCGCAAGUAGGCGGUUAAUCAAGUUGCGUGUGAAAGCUCCCGGCUAAACUGGGAGAGGACACGUAAGACUGGUUGACUAGAGUCCGAUAGAGGGGUGUAGAAUUCCGGGUGUAGCGGUGAAAUGUGUAGAGAUCCGGAGGAAUACCAGUGGUGAAGACGGCACCCUGGGUCGGGACUGACGCUGAGAUGCGAAAGCGUGGGGAGCGAACGGG
RNAcentral lists this unclassified non-coding RNA (253 nucleotides) under uncultured bacterium. RNAcentral's name for it is "contains 16S-23S intergenic spacer region". It matches the Rfam family "Bacterial small subunit ribosomal RNA", at positions 524 to 776 of the family's 1533-position model. The record is from RNAcentral.